This 1512-nucleotide ribosomal RNA is filed under the name Triticum aestivum (bread wheat). RNAcentral describes it as "partial small subunit ribosomal RNA". The record is from RNAcentral. Lineage: Eukaryota; Viridiplantae; Streptophyta; Magnoliopsida; Poales; Poaceae.
AUGGCAUUCGCGUUCUUGCCGGAACUGCUCAUCUCCAUACUUGUGCUACUUGUAGUCGUUCUAGGUUUGUACUACAUAAAGUCUAGUAAGAAUCCACUGUUGCCAGUGGACUGGCCAGUAGUGGGCAUCCUCCCUUCCCUAGCCAUCAACCUCCACAGACUGCAUCAGUAUAUCGCCUUUGACCUCCUAUCACGGUCCGGCCACAGCCUAAAGUUUGCCAUAGCUAGCAUACAGAUAUUCCUAACCUGCGACCCGGUGAAUAUCCAACACAUUUUCACCUUGAAUCACACAAACUAUCCCAAGGGUGAGGAGUUCGCCGAUAUCUUUGAUGUGGCAAGGGGCUCACUCUUCACUGUCGACGGCGAGCCCUGUCGUCGUGAGCGCACAAAUUACCAAGGUGUGUUGAGCAGCCCACGGGUGGUCGGGCUAAUGAACACGUGUUGUCGUGAUAAGGUGGAGAAGGGCCUUCUGCCCUUCAUGGCCCACAUGGCGUUAACAAAUGCUCAUGUCGACAUGAAUGAUCUCAUUAUGAGGCUCGUGUUUGACAUGUAUGCCAUGACCAUCUUCGGUGUGGACACGGCUUUCUUGUCCCUUGACAUGCCGCCGGUGCACGUCGCGGAUGCGAUGGACACGGUCAUGGAGGUGGCCUUCAUCCGACACAUUGUGCCAGUAUUUUUCUGGAAGGUGAUGAGGCGCUUGGACAUUGGUCCAGAGAGGAAGCUUGCCGCCGCGCAAGCGCUGCUUCGCUGCUUCACAAUGGACAUGAUCAUGAAGAGGAGGGGGAACGACCAUGGUAUUGUUCAAGAGGUACCCGUAGACAUUCUGUCCAAUUAUGUCAAUGACCCAAGAUACAAUGAUGAUUUACUCCAGGCAACUCUCAUUACCUACAUGAUCUCCGGGAGGGACACGAUCGGUACUACCUUGUCGUGGGUCAUCUACAACCUCGCCAAGAACCCGCACGUCGUGUCGAGCAUACAUGAUGAACUAGCACCCAUCAUAUCCCGCAAACCAUCCAUUGCAGGAGCCACCAUGACGAUGUUGGAUCUAGAUGAUGUCAAAGCCCUAGUUUAUUUGCAAGCCACCCUAUUGGAGACACUCAGGUUGUACCCGCCGAUCCCUAUCGAGCGCAAGUCUGUUGUCACCACCGAUGUAAUGCCAAGUGGCCAUGAGGUGUGUGCCCGGGACAUCGUCCUCGUCUCCAUCUACUCCAUCGGAAGGAUGGAGUCUGUCUGGGGAGCUAACUGCCGGGAGUAUAGGCCAGAGAGGUGGCUCUCAGAGGAUGGACGCCAGCUGCGACACGUGCCCUCUCACAAGUUUUUGGCUUUUAACUCGGGCCCAAGAUUAUGCCUUGGCAGGGAUAUUGCAAUCAUGCAGAUGAAGAUCAUCGUUGCUGCUAUCGUGUGGAACUUUGAUGUGAAAGUGUUAGAUGGUCAAACCAUCGAGACAAAGUUGUCUUGUCUUCUGCAAAUGAAGAAUGGCCUGAAGGUUAAGCUGAAUAAGCGGGAAAUGUAA